CCAACGUGGUCAUCCUGUGAGUUGCUCUCAUAAGGCUCUGUCCGUGUGGCGUAUGGGAGCUUAGCACUUUUUGUGCAAUGAUGUAUAGUCCCGUUCCACGACGUUGUAAAGUGAGACGCUCCCUGGCUUUCAGGCUGGUGUGGACGUAGCCCUGCAUAUUCCUACACCUUUCCAGAGCCCAUGGGCAAUUACUGGGGGGGAAAACCAUGCAGUGCACAUCU
The sequence is a small nucleolar RNA, 221 nucleotides long. Its record names the gene SNORA73. It matches the Rfam family "Small nucleolar RNA SNORA73 family". From Rfam's summary of the family: U17 (SNORA73A and SNORA73B) also known as E1 belongs to the H/ACA class of small nucleolar RNAs (snoRNAs). The record is from Ensembl.